CAAAGGCUUGGUCCUGACUUUACUGUCAGCUCUAGCUAGAUUUACACAUGCAAGUAUCCGCACCCCUGUGAGAAUGCCCCUACAGUUCCCUGCCCGGGAACAAGGAGCCGGUAUCAGGCACACUCCCAUUAGCCCAAGACACCUUGCUUAGCCACACCCUCAAGGGAACCCAGCAGUGAUAAACAUUAAGCUAUAAGUGAAAACUUGACUUAGUUAAAGCUAAAAGGGCCGGUUAAACUCGUGCCAGCCACCGCGGUUAUACGAGAGGCCCAAGUUGACGGACAACGGCGUAAAGAGUGGUUAAGAGCACUUAUAAAACUAAAGCCGAACGCUUUCAAAGCUGUUAUACGCACAUGAAAGUAAGAAGCCCAACUACGAAAGUGGCUUUAUACAAUCUGAACCCACGAAAGCUGGGAUACAAACUGGGAUUAGAUACCCCACUAUGCCCAGCCCUAAACAUUGAUAGUUCAAUACACCCACUAUCCGCCAGGGAACUACGAGCAUUAGCUUAAAACCCAAAGGACUUGGCGGUGCUUAAGAUCCACCUAGAGGAGCCUGUUCUAGAACCGAUUACCCCCGUUCAACCUCACCCUCCCUUGUUUUUUCCGCCUAUAUACCGCCGUCGUCAGCUUACCCCGUGAAGGCCCAAUAGUAAGCAAAACUGGUUUAACCCAAAACGUCAGGUCGAGGUGUAGCGCAUGAGAGGGGAAGAAAUGGGCUACAUUUACUAACCUAGUAAAUACGAAUAAUAUACUGAAACGUAUACUUGAAGGAGGAUUUAGCAGUAAGCGAAAAAUAGAGCGUUCCGCUGAAACUGGCC
RNAcentral lists this ribosomal RNA (820 nucleotides) under Ctenopoma acutirostre (spotted ctenopoma). RNAcentral describes it as "partial small subunit ribosomal RNA". It matches the Rfam family "Bacterial small subunit ribosomal RNA", at positions 7 to 1373 of the family's 1533-position model. Lineage: Eukaryota; Metazoa; Chordata; Actinopteri; Anabantiformes; Anabantidae. The record is from RNAcentral.